CAGCAGAUAAAAUUUAAGAGAUUUUCUGACAGAAAAAUGAGAUAUUUGCGAAUAGCCAGCAACAACAAAGUGAGCAGUUUCUCCUGGAGGGCCACAUGAACACCAAGUUUAAGCAAUGAGCUAGUAUCAUUGCGUUCACUUGCAUCAUGGCUACUUCACAGCAAUGCUGGAAAAAAAGCAAGGAGACAGGCCCAGUAGUGGGAAAGACAUGCCAGCUAAGAUGGAGGAAAAAAGAUGGCAUGGCUCUGCUCCUCCUGUCGAUACCUGUUCCUCUCGGCAAGCAGGGUGUUGCUAAAGAAGACAAUAGAGGACAGGUCCUCUCUCCAAUGACUUGGUACUCCAGUAGACAAGAUUGAUGGGUCUUAGUAAUCCUCUUCCUACCAAAUGAACUGGGGGCAGUCCUGCCAAACACCUUGUUCCAAAAUAAUUAUAACAUACGGAUUUCAUGAGCAGAUCAGAGUGGAGUGUUACUGUCAGUCAACCAACCUGCUGACCACCUAUUGGAGUGCCCCUUCUUUUGCUAUUGUCGGUACUAGCCUUAUUAAGAGAUGCAUCUGGGAGUACCUAAUAAUGAUUGAAAGGCUUUGUCAGGCAGUUCUGAAGAUGCCACCACUAUAAUUAAUUUAAAUAACAUACUUACAAAUAAAUGGAUACUAAUUAUCCAACUGAGCACUGAAUUGGAACUGAUGAUGGGUGUAAAAAUCCCACUCUUCCUUAAUCAAUUCUCUGUGAUAUGGGAAAUUGAUUUCUAUCUCAAUUUUGUGAGCCAAUUGCUGUUAGUGAAGCAAAAACUCCAUCAUUAAAGCAAUCAAAAAAUUAAUUUGUCAACUGGAACCAAAACAAAAAUAAGUGCUUACUUGCAGAGGUUACAUUAACAUAAUUAUGUCAUAAUCAUCCAAUGAGAUGCAAUAUGCCCGCAUGUAAGCUCAAACAUAUUGCAUCAUGUAUGUUGAACAAGUAGUGGUGAGUAAAGUUCUGGCAUCAUCUUUCACCUGCAUAUGCAUUACUUUUGCCGCAAUGUAUAAGUUAUGCUACUCACAACCUCCGUACACACAAAAAAAUAAUUAAAAAAGAACUCUAGUGAUCAGUGAAAUCCGUAUAAAUCUGCAAAGCAAUUGUUUCUAUGCCUCAAACAAGUUCCAGAUGGUACAUACAAUUGUGAUGCUCAAUUGUCAUGAUGAAACUUAAACAGUAUCCUUUAACAGAACUUUUGCUAAAAACCGAUUCAUGAAGCAACUAGCAUUUCUUAGCAGAAAGAGUUCAGCAGCUA
Molecule: long non-coding RNA, 1270 nt
Filed under: Elaeis guineensis (African oil palm)
Lineage: Eukaryota; Viridiplantae; Streptophyta; Magnoliopsida; Arecales; Arecaceae
Description: long non-coding RNA (EGUI_LNC023868)
Source: RNAcentral